AAUGGCGGGUGCAGGAGUCCGCGCCAGCAAUCUGGAACGGUUUUUAAACGCAGGGGUAGAAGAGCUGCACAGCUCCGCGGGUAAAUGGAUACCUUCGCCCAUGCGUUAUCGCAAUACAGGAUUGUCAAUGUCGACGGAUGCUGAAGCGGAUGAGUAUUCACGCUAUGGCGUAGAGGGAGAGUCGGUUGCGGAAAUGAAGUCGCUGAUUGAGCGCCAUCACGUGUAGCAACGUACCGAUUUUUACCGCGCAUCAUGUCGCCCAAUAUGAUGCUUGCUUGUACCAGGCCCCUGCAAUUUCAACAGGGGCCUUUUUUU
This 315-nucleotide non-coding RNA is filed under the name Enterobacter asburiae. Its description in RNAcentral is "MicL sRNA". It matches the Rfam family "MicL sRNA". From Rfam's summary of the family: mRNA-interfering complementary RNA regulator of Lpp. Transcription factor sigma E dependant sRNA. The record is from RNAcentral. Lineage: Bacteria; Pseudomonadati; Pseudomonadota; Gammaproteobacteria; Enterobacterales; Enterobacteriaceae.